RNAcentral lists this long non-coding RNA (7511 nucleotides) under Triticum aestivum (bread wheat). RNAcentral describes it as "long non-coding RNA (TAES_LNC011901)". The record is from RNAcentral. Lineage: Eukaryota; Viridiplantae; Streptophyta; Magnoliopsida; Poales; Poaceae.
CCAGUCUUGCUCCAUUCUUCUUCUUCCUUCUCCUCUUCCAUGCUUGGCCUUGAUCCUUGGAUUCUCCAAGGUCAUCUUGGUUGUACCUGAGUGUAUGCAAGGUCCAUGCAUGAGGUAGUAGCCGUGUCUCAUAUGCAGAAAGUGACGGUUCGAAGAGGAGUGAAUUCACCUUGUGUCCAAUGGCGCAUAGUCGAGGUCUCAUCUUAUGUGUCCUUAGGGCUUGGGGAGUAGUCAGAGUGUACAUGGGGAUGAACGUGGGAUGCUCCGCAUCAUCUCCCCCCCCCCUUGUGAAAGAUCUGACCUCGGAUCGUGAUCCUCAUCACCAUGGAAACUGUUGUCGUGGACGGACUUGUAGUUGGACGAAGUUGAAGGCAUUGCACAAUCCAAGUACUCCCAGGUGUCUCCGGUAUGUGGUACAUGCAAAAUGAGCAAACACAAGCGACACUCGGAAAUACAAUGGUUAGCGCACACAAAAUGUCCAUCAUGUAAGAAUGAGUCCGUGCGGCAAGAUAUUGCAUGACAAAGCGCAUGAAGCUUAUCAAGAUGAUAUAGAAUGAUAUGCAAAGCAUUCAUGGGAGAAUUAGCAUGGUGCACAAAGCGACAAAUUCUACCAUUGUGCAAAAUGAUGUCAUAGAGAGACGGUUCAUCAAUAGCACGAAUAUGGCAAUGGAUGCUCAAUAUGUGUAAGCUAUCAUGCAAUUGAUGGUGGACAAUAUGAUCAUUAUGUAUGAAUAUGCCAUCAUGGAAGAUCACAACAAAUUUGCUAAGGAAAUGCACAAGCUCAUAUAUCAUGGAUGACAUGGGACUACAAGAUGCAACAAGGCAAUCAUAAUGUGAGUCAAUCCAUGCAUAGUGUGCAAACUUGUGGUGACUAUGAUAUGUCCAUCGAGCAUGACAUAUAUGAGCACAAUCAAUACAUAUGGAGGUGUUGGUGUACCAAAGCUCGAUGUCGAGGCAUGGGUGGAAGGCCGAAGGUGCAUCCAAUAAGUGCGAGCACUCCUCAAUGUGAAGGUCCAUGUAGCCAAUCUCCAAUGUCGUGCCUCCGUUCACGAGAUGUAUCAUGUAGACAACAAGAAGGAAACAACAAUGAAAGAGUGACCCAUCCAAUAUGCGUAUUUGAGGAUGGCUCAAAGAGAAGGAGUUCACCUUUAAGAGUGUCACAAGGAUGAUGUAGUUGCGCAUCUUGUAUGCCUUCACAUAACCAAUAUGCCGCGUGAUGGUACCGCCUUGUGAAUCCUUCAAAAUGAAAGAACAUGACAAACACUCGGAAAAACAAAUGAGGUUAGCGGAAGUGCAAAACCUAUCAUUCGUGUGGUAAGAUACCCAACAAGUGUAUGCAUCAUGCUCAUCAUAAGAAUGGACAAGGGAGCAUUUCAUAGUAUGAAGGCUUAUGAUGUAAGAACAACCAAAUACAAGAGGCUCAAUCAAACAAUCAUGCAUCACAAGUAAAGUGUCCAAGUCUCCAAGAUCAAUAAGCAUAGCAAGUUGGCACUCAAUACAAGGUGAUAUGAGAGAUGCAACUAAUGGAGACAAGAGGCAAUGAUUAUGACAAAUCAAGUGAGAGGCAUGAGCAUAUGUGUCAUCAACCCAAGAAAGCAAGUGAUAGUGGAACAUGGGUGAUGCAACCAAGCAAGCAAUCAUAGCAAUCACGUCAAGCAAGCUAGUAGUGCGAAGAUGCAACAUACUAGAAGGAAUCAUGGCAAGCAUGUCAUGUGUGCAAAUAGUGGGCAUGAAUAAUGGACACGACAUAGCACAAACAUGAAAGCAACAUAUGAGCAAAAUAUCAUCAAUGUAUUGGCGAGAGACCAUAUGUGAAUAGCAAUGGGGCAUCAUGACUCUCCCAACACAACAAUCAACAAUAGCAUGGGGCACAUGAUAAACAUGGCAAAAGCAACAAGGAUCUCCACCAAGCAUGCAAAUACACAUAGAAGUAUAAUAAUGGUGAAUCAUGGGUAGAUGCAAGCAAGGGUCACAAUUGCAUGGCAAAUGCAUAGAAGCAAGUAUAACAUGCAAAGUGAACACGGGAAAAUGAGCAUAAGGUGACAAGUGGUAAAUAGCCCAUAGCCGUGUGAGAGCCAAGUAAAAGAGAUGCGCGUAGUCCUUGCGCGAAGGGAACGGUGGUAAGGAUAGUCCACGGGAUCCCAAGUCAUCGUUGCUCUCAAGAGCUCGUUUCGUCAACUCAUGGGAUUGUGAGGUUGACGAGUGUUCAUAAGUACCUACACAAAACAAAGACAAAGAGAAAAUUGUGUGUGCAUGGUAUAUGUACACAUCAUCCAUCAUGAUGCGCACGUGCAUGUGUCAGUUAGUACUAAAUAGCCAAUGCUCAAAUAAAUGAGAUGUGUGAUAUAGAAACAUGUCAUCCACCAUGAGAGGUUUGUUGUUAUGUAUCGCAUAAUGGAGACUCAAAUUGUGUAAUGCAUCAUGAGAAAUAUCUAGAGCAUUGUUAUUCAUGGAAUGCAUAUGGUGCAAGCAAUCAUGGGAAUCAUGCAAAGUAUGAAAUGCAUCAAGGUCUCCUAAUAUGUAUGAGGAAACUAUGGGGGUCUCCUCAUGAGCAUGAGUAGCAACAUCACAUGGAGAAUAUUGACAACAUCCAAAACAAUGCAUAUUCGAAACAAUGUGAUCAUGGCAUGACAUAGUAGAUGAAUUGCACAAAUCAUGUAAAGGAAGCAUGGCAAUAUCAUCACAAGAGAAGCAAAAUCCAAUUACCAUCAUCUCGUCAUCUAUGCCAUAAGUGCAAAUGGGAUUGAUCUUAAUGGGGCAUGCAUAGUUACUAUGUUGAGAUUGAAAUGAAGCAAUAUGGGAGAUCUCACUCAUAGCAUAUGACAAGUUCAAUGGAUUGUCAAGCAUAAUGUGACCAAUAGAAUUUUCACAAGUUAUCCUAUGGAGCAUAGCAUCACAACUAGGCAACUCAACAUGCUCAUCAUCAUAUUCAUCAUAAAUAGGUAAGUCAAGACAUGAAGAAGUUUCACUAGCAUGAAGCAUGGAAAUAGGUGGGUCAACAUCAUGGGAGCAAUCAAUGUCAAGAGAGUCCACUAGUGGGACAAGAGAAGCACCAUCACCUAUGUUACCUUUGGAGCAUCGCUCAUGUGUUGUAGGUGAGGUGUUGAAGAUCAAGUCAUGGUCAUCGUCAUCUUGAUGGAACCAUGUAGGGGGUGCAUCAUCAUCCACCAUGGCCAUCGUCGUGUUCAAAGGGAGGAUGUAGUCAUCGCAAAUCGGCGCGUCAUCAUAUAUGGGUCCUAGCACCAAAGAAGAAAACACAAGAGAGGUAGAGGUUAAGUUGUUAGAAAGCGAAAUGGCCUCAUAUGCCGUGUCAACUACCUCACUCUCUAAGUGUUGUGGCUCACUCACUCCCUCAAGGAUGCUCUCACUCAUAUGGUUGGUGGAGUCACUCAAAUGGCGCUCAACCUCACAUAGGAUGUGUGGCAUGCUCUCAUGUGUGGGGCUAGUGGUGGUCACACUCAUCCUCUCAUAGGAAAUGCUCUCAAUGUCACUAUGGUGGAGUCACUCAUGUCACUCAUGGGGUGGUGGCUCUCCUCACAUGGCACUUGGUACAUUUCUUCAUAUGUGGGUGUCAGAGAGAUGUUGGUGCAAAUGUCUCCAUGCGCGGUCGCGUAGCUUGACUCGGAGGAGGAGUCCAAUGUGGGCACCGUCUUCAUGUUGUUGAAGAGGUUCGCACUCAUACUCAUGGUCGAAGGGGAUGGCCCUUGCUCGACCGUCUUGUCGCCGUCUUGGUCUUGGAGGCCCAUAUGAUGUGGCACCUCGUAGCUCGUCUCCAUGACCGAAGGGAAUUUCCCAUGCUCGGCCAUCUUCCUUGGGGGGCUUCCGAAGAUGGAAGUGUCACCCUCACUUGUAGGUAGUCACCCUGGACUUGAUGAAGUCGUUGUAGGCGUACUUGUGGGAAGUAGGCGAAGAUGCCGUACGUCCAUAGGCGAAGAUGCCUUGAGAACACUUGGCGAAGAUGCCGAAGUGGUUGAUGUAGCCGUAGCGCCGUCUUGGUGGUAGUCAUCUCGCGGUCUUCUUUUAUGCUCAUGAAGCUUCGACUUGGCGUGUUGGGACUUGUGCAUUUGCGCUUGUGGAGCAUCUUCAUGAUGAUGGUGUCGUUGUCGCGCUUGAGCUCGAAGGCGUUCGUCGUCGUCGUGCACAUGAUGCUUGGAGAUGACUUGCCCUUCAUGACGAUGUGGAUCACGAACGUGAUGGUGGUCGCCAUGUCGAUGUUGACUUGGACGACUUGCGCUUGCAUCUUGUUUGUGCUCCGAAGAUGUUCGACUUGGUCGCCACCGCCUUGAAGAUGACGAAGGGGAAGUAGACUUGAUCAAGGCUCUAAUCUCCUCCAUCCUUGCAUCUUGCUCCUCUUUAUGUGCGGCAAGCUUCUUGUCGAAGUAGUCCCUUCUCCUUGCUUCGGAGUGAUGAAUGUCGAUGGAGAUGUUCUCGAUGCGCUCUCGCAAUCUUGAUUGUGUGCCUUGCACUUGUCGUUGUAGAUCGAAGAUAGACGCUUUGGUGAUGUAAUUGUUCACGCCGUCGUUGUUGUCGAGGACCGGAGAGGGAAUGCCUUGCCUAUCCAUCACAAGACUCGAGCAAAUAUGAGUGGGAGAAAGAGAAGAACUUAUACCAAUGUACCUUGACCGAUGUUGACGAUGAAUCAAGUUCACUCAAAUGUGGACAAUGAAAUAGCACUAUUGGUACCAAUCCUUGUCGGUUCUCACACCUACACAAGUAAAGCUUAUAGUGGAGCUCGGUGAGGAUAGUGGCACAAAAAUUUAAUGCAAAAUGUUAGCAAGAGUCAAUAAUGUUGAAAGAGAUUCACAAAUUCGCAAGUGAAACAAGUAGACCAAUAGCAAUAUGGAAGGCACAUGGAAACGCACACACGGAUAGAUAAAUGGGGUCGUGCAACCAAGGAAUGAGCACAAAAAGUGGAAUCCACGGAAAACGCUCGUGUUGCACAACUCAAGAGAGACGCUAGCACGAUUGCUCAAUAGGCGGAUACGACACUCGUGCACAACCUAUAAGAUGCCAAAUGGAUAAACUUCUAUCCCAAGUAUGCUAUGUAUGUAUGGUUCCCGGUGUUUCUCUCAAGAUGAUCCAAGAUGAUCGGAUAUGACAAUCUUAUAUGCAAUGUGGUAUGAUGCUAUGGCACUUGCUUACAAGCUUCUUUGCUCUCUUUCUCUUUUGCUUAAAAGCUUUAUUUCUUUUUUCUUUUUUUUCUAUGGCCACUUUGCACAAUCCACAAACCAAGAUAGCAAUUGUGUAUAUGCGGGAACAAACUUGUGACACAAGAUAUGAUAGCAAUAUAUGCACCACGAUGAUAUGGUAUGUAUGCUUAUGGUAAGUAUGAUCACUAAUGUGCACAAGUAACGUUGCCGGCAAUACUCAAACGGCUAGUCUCGAUAGGCAAGCGACGCAAAAGUAAGGCUAGGGGUUAACAAUGCAAUAGCAAGGGAAUAUACAAUGGAGGGAUACCAUGAUACCAAGAUGAUAUGGAGGUUACCGUCCGACGAUGAUGAGUAGUGGUGUUCUUGAUGUAGAUACCAAGAUGAUGGAGACUCGUCCCUAAGUAGCCGAAACACCUUAGGAAACGGAAAAACCGCGAACUCAAAAUCUCAAAUGACAAAUGUCAAAUGGUGAUAGCGGAAAUGCGGUGGUGGUUUGCACUUGGCAAUGCGGAAGUGGAAUGCUGGGCUAUACACGAGUCGGAGUUGAAGUUGCCGUCCCUAAGUAGCCGAAACACCUUAGGAGACACAAGCCACAACUCAAACAAAAUUGGGUUAAGUUGGGGUGGAAUUGUAUGGUGGGCAAGGUUAUGCGGAAGUGGUGGUGGUGGUUGAUGAAGAAGCAAUUGUCCCUAAGUAGCCGAAACACCUUAGGAGACUCUAAUCACAACUCAAACAACCACAUAUGCAAUGAGGAACAAAAUGGGUUAGGUUGCGGAAGUCGGUGGUGGUAAUGCGGAUGAUAUGGUGGAGGGCCUAGGCAAACUUGCCAAAUUUCAGAAAAUAUGAUGGAGUCAAAUGAUGUUGGUGGUAUUUUUGUGGGAUGGGGGAUGUCAAUAGAUUCAAAACGAGCUAAAGAACGUCAAAAUCGGAGUUUGGAUGAAUUAGUUACGGCCGAAACAAAAAUCUGUCCGUGUCAGUUUCAGGGUUAACCGGACAUCCGGGAGGAGGUCCGGAUGAUCCGGGCUAGGUCCGGAUGAUCCGGGUGUACAUCCGGAUGAUCCAGGUUCGUCAGCUCCGGUUCUGUUUUCUGGGUGCGUGGGGUAUCCGGACGUCCGGGAGAGGGUCCAGCUGAUCCGGGAGGUGUCCGGAUGAUCCGGGGGAAGGUCCGGAUGAUCCGGGCAGGUCAAACUGCUCGGGAUUUCCUCUCGGGGACGAAUUUUUGGGCGGAAAUGGAUGAUUUUCGGGGCAAAAUUUGAUGGAUUUCGUGGAUGGAAGGUGGGGAAACUUGGGGAAAUGCUAGAUCCACUUGAAACCAAGCAAAUCCACGGAUCAUAAUCAACAAAACAUCAUCAAACCAACAAAUCACAAAAAAAUUUGGGGCUAUUUUUGGUGGGGAUUUUCGGAUUUAGGACGAAAACAACAAAAUCAAGCUAGAAAAAGAGGGGUAGGGGCUCCAAAAACGUGAUCAACGUGGCUCAUGAUACCAUAUGAUGUAGGGUGGAACCCUAUAGCGUCGAUCUUUCACGUUUGGAGUGGAUCCUACGGGGAAUCAUGAAGAACACGCGGAAGCACAAAGGGAAACUCGGGGGAAAACAAGAGGGAAUCACUCAACCAACAAGGAAUCGAUCACACAAGUGCUAGAUCAUCGAAUACAUAGAGUAACAUAUGAUCCACAAUCAACAAAGGGAAAGGAUACAACGGAAUCGUUCUUCUCCAAGAGGAGGCUUUGAUGUUCUUCCCUAAAGAGGGGUCUUGAAUCCGCUCGGGGAUCUUCUCCGGAGAGGUCCUGAUCUCCGAGGAGAAGUAUCCAAGUGGAUGAGCAAAGGCUCUCACACAAAUAUGAGCUAAUCCAAUGCUGAGUCUCAAAGUGAGGAGGAGGAGUCCUAUAUAUAGGCUAGGGGGCGAAGGGGUACAUGGGCUCAGCCCAAGUCGCGCACACAGGCGGGGUCCGGAUGAUCCGGAUGGUGGCUCGGAUGAUCUGGGUGUCGGGGGUCCGGAUGAUCCGGGUUACCGUACGGAUGAUCCGGCUUCGUCGAGCAGCUUCGGGUGUCUUCGGGCUCGUUAGUCGGAUCGUCCGGGUGGUCGUCCGGAUCGUCCGGGCUCGGUCCGGAUCGUCCGGUUGGGUGUCCGGAUGAUCCGGGCAAGUCCAGUCUUGCUCCAUUCUUCUUCUUCCUUCUCCUCUUCCAUGCUUGGCCUUGAUCCUUGGAUUCUCCAUGGUCAUCUUGGUUGUACCUGAGUGUAUGCAAGGUCCGUGCAUGAGGUAGUAGCCGUGUCUCAUAUGCGUAAAGUGACGGUUCGAAGAGGAGUGAAUUCACCUUGUGUCCAAUGGCGCAUAGUCGAGGUCUCAUCUCAUGUGUCCUU